RNAcentral lists this ribosomal RNA (1869 nucleotides) under Colletotrichum truncatum. RNAcentral's name for it is "SSU rRNA". It matches the Rfam family "Eukaryotic small subunit ribosomal RNA". The record is from RNAcentral. Lineage: Eukaryota; Fungi; Ascomycota; Sordariomycetes; Glomerellales; Glomerellaceae.
CCUAGUUAAUUCUACUAGUAGUUAUAUUACUAUCUUAAAGAUUAAGCUAUAUAUAUCUAAGUAUAAGUAUUAUAUAGCGAAACGUACGAAUAGCUUAUUAUAAAGUAUCGUUUAUUUAUAAUACCUUACUAUUUAGAUACCGUAGUAAUUCUAAAGCUAAUAUAUAUUAAAAAUCCCGAUUCGGAAGAUAUAUUUAUUAGAUUAAAAACUAAUACCUUUUAAAGCUUACUAGUAUUUAUAAAAACUUCUCGAAUUAUAUACCUUACGCUAGUAAUAGUUAUUUAAAUUUCUUCCUUAUAACUUUCGAUGCUAAAGUAGUAUGUAGCAUAGUUAUAACAGUAACGGAGGGUUAAGGCUUAACCCUAGAGAAGAAGCCUAAAGAAGCUAUUUAUCUAAAGAAAGUGCAGCCGUCGGUAAAUUAAACUAUACACCGCUCAGAGAGAAUUUUAUUUGGUUGGGUAGUCAAAAUAACAUAAAUUAAUAAUAAAGGGAGUGGUUGUGAUUAGUCAAUAAUAAACUAUAAAAUAGACUAAAUUUUAAUUAUUUUUCUUAAUUAAUUUUAUGUGUUCUAAUUAAACGAAUUGGAAAGAUGUUCCCUUUGGAACCUCGAGUGACCGUGGGCCACAACUGGUAAUUUUUAGCUCUUAGCUAAUAUUAAGUUAUUAUAGUUAAGCUUUGUUGGCCAUAGAAACCUUUUAGCUAGAACCAUCGCUGCGGCUUACUUUGCGGGACCUACAAUAUGUUGUUUGCGCUAAUAAGGCAAACUUAUCUCAUAUAAAACAAAACCGCAUACCCUUUACUAGGUAUGCCGGGGAAAUAAGACUUUUACUUUAAAAAAAUUAAAGUACUCUAGGCAAGCCUAUGCUUAAAUAUAUUAGCAUAGAAUAAUAGAAUAAGACGUAUAGUUUUAUUUUAUUAGUUUCUAAGACUACCGUAAUAAUUAAUAAGGAUAGUUAGGGGUAUUAGUAUUUAAUUAUUAAAAGUAAAAUUCUUAGAUUUAUUAAAAACUAACUACUACGAAAGUAUUUACUAAGGAUAUUUUUAUUUAUUAGGAACGAAAGUUAAGGGAUCGAAGACGAUUAGAUACUAUCGUAGUCUUAACUAUAAACUAUACCGACUAAGGAUUAGACGAUAUUAUUUUUUAACUUAUUUAGUACUUUACGAGAAAUUAAAGUACUUAGGCUUUAAGGGGAGUAUAGUUAUAAGGCUAAAACUUAAAGAAAUUAACGGAAAAGUACUACUAAGGGUAAAGCCUACGGCUUAAUUUAACUUAAUAUAGGGAAACUUACUAAGUCUAGACAUAAUAAGGAUUAAUAGAUAGACUCUUCUAAUUUUAUUAAGUAGUUUAAUAUAUAGCCGUUCUUAGUUAGUAAAGUAAUUUAUCUACUUAAUUACGAUAACGAACAAGACCUUAACCUACUAAAUAGCCUAUAUUGCUUUAAUAGUACGCUAGCUUCUUAGAAGGAUUAUCGGCUUAAGCCGAUAGAAGUUUAAGGUAAUAACAGGUCUAUAAUACCCUUAGAUGUUCUGGGCCGCACGCGCGUUACACUGACAAAGCUAGCAAGUACUCCCUUAACCGGAAGGUCUAGGUAAUCUUAUUAAACUCUAUCGUACUAAGGAUAAAGCAUUACAAUUAUUACUUUUUAACAAGGAAUCCCUAGUAAGCGUAAGUUAUUAGCUUACGUUAAUUACAUCCCUACCUUUUAUAUAUACUGCCUAUCGCUACUACCGAUUAAAUAGCUUAGUAAGGCUUUUAGACUAGCCUAAAGAGGUAGGUAACUACUACUUAAGGCUAGAAAGUUAUUUAAACUUAGUUAUUUAGAAGAAGUAAAAGUCGUAAUAAGGUUUCUAUUAGUAAACUAGUAGAAG